This 581-nucleotide ribosomal RNA is filed under the name uncultured fungus. RNAcentral's name for it is "eukaryotic LSU rRNA". The stretch from base 211 to 363 matches the Rfam family "5.8S ribosomal RNA". Lineage: Eukaryota; Fungi. The record is from RNAcentral.
AGUCGUAACAAGGUCUCCGUAGGUGAACCUGCGGAGGGAUCAUUACACAAAUAUGAAGGCGGGCUGGAACCUCUCGGGGUUACAGCCUUGCUGAAUUAUUCACCCUUGUCUUUUGCGUACUUCUUGUUUCCUUGGUGGGUUCGCCCACCACUAGGACAAACAUAAACCUUUUGUAAUUGCAAUCAGCGUCAGUAACAAAUUAAUAAUUACAACUUUCAACAACGGAUCUCUGGUUCUGGCAUCGAUGAAGAACGCAGCGAAAUGCGAUAAGUAGUGUGAAUUGCAGAAUUCAGUGAAUCAUCGAAUCUUUGAACGCACAUUGCGCCCUUUGGUAUUCCAAAGGGCAUGCCUGUUCGAGCGUCAUUUGUACCCUCAAGCUUUGCUUGGUGUUGGGCGUCUUGUCUCUAGCUUUGCUGGAGACUCGCCUUAAAGUAAUUGGCAGCCGGCCUACUGGUUUCGGAGCGCAGCACAAGUCGCACUCUCUAUCAGCAAAGGUCUAGCAUCCAUUAAGCCUUUUUUUUCAACUUUUGACCUCGGAUCAGGUAGGGAUACCCGCUGAACUUAAGCAUAUCAAUAAGUCG